This 42416-nucleotide long non-coding RNA is filed under the name Lactuca sativa (garden lettuce). RNAcentral's name for it is "long non-coding RNA (LSAT_LNC003000)". Lineage: Eukaryota; Viridiplantae; Streptophyta; Magnoliopsida; Asterales; Asteraceae. The record is from RNAcentral.
GCAAAAGACUGGUUUAGUCUUUAUGUGAGACAUCAUGAAUCGUGUCCCAUAUGCUUCGGAUAUAGGAUCGAUUACAUGUGCUAUAUUCAUCCUUUCUAAAAUUUUCCAAAUGCCUAGGGCAUUAAGAAGGGAAAAGGUUUAGAACUGGAUAUGACUAAAAGGAUUAAACAAUUGUCGAGGACAAUCUAAGGUUUACCAAAGAUUGUUGCUUAGGGACAGUUGGAAGUAUAGUGUUAAUUGUUGGAAGGGCCAUAUUGACAUAUUCUGAAAAAAGGCAACUCUUGUUCAGAAGUGAUAGUCAAAAGGGCAAUAUGGAAAUGAUCCCAUAGGUGGAAGUUGUUCAAUAAAUCUGUUGAAGAUUAGGAAACUUAAUGCAAGAAGGAUGUUUCCAAGGAGUUGAUCUCAUUUGGAAUGCUCUGUAAUGUUUGUUGUCAAGUCUUUGUGACUUUAUGCAUAGUCAUUACAAGAGGAUCAAUGCAUAUAAGUUUAGAAUCUAACAGAUUUCAGUAAAUGGCAUGAAUUUGGAAUUCUUGCAUUUGCAGUAAGGAUUUGGGAGUGUGAAAAGAGAAUCAUUGAAGUUAUGUUCAAUUGAUCUAGUUCACAAAGUAAAGAUCAUAGACAAACAUAGUAUGCAUACUUGGUGUAUGGCAUGACUAGUGUUUAAAAAACAUAGUGUACAUGCUUGGAGCAUGGGACAACUAUUGUUUUAAAUUCAAGAAUAAAGUUGAUAGCUGAAACAGUAUACAAUGAAUAAUGUGUAAUCAUAUGGUGAUAAAUAAAAGGUGUUUUAUUUAUGUUCANUAAGGAUUUGGGACUGUGAAAUGAGAGUCAUUGGAGUUAUGUUCAAUUGAUAUAUGUCACAAAGUAAAGAUCAUAGAAAAAUAUAGUAUGCAUACUUGGUGUAUGGCAUGACUAGUGUUUAAAAAACAUAGUGUACAUGCUUGGAGCAUGGGACAACUAUUAUUUUUAAUUCAAGUAUAAAGUUGAUAGCUGAAACAGUAUGCAAUGAAUAAUGUGUAAUCAUAUGGUGAUAAUAUAAAAGGUGUUUUAUUUAUAUUCAUAAGUUCUGAGACCAUAUUGUAUUCAAUUAUUAUUGUGUUUCAUUUUUGCAUGUUUUGACUUCCAGCAUAAGUAGGUUAUUCUUCCUAAAUGACUAAGUUAUUCAAACUAUCCACAGUCGGUCAUAUGUUGGAAGUAGAUAUGAAUCAAGACUGUCAUGGGUUGGCUUGUAGAGGUCAUAGAUGUUGGACAAAGUGGUGCUACAACACUCAUGAGUGCUCAUAAGUUCUGAGUAUCGAAUUCAAACCGCGCUCGUUGGAAUCGCUUCAUGGAUUUUAUCAUGAGUGAUCAUGAGACGAUAAUACCUUAUAUUCUUCAAACCUAGAGAUAUGAGUUGUUACUUUGAGUUGGUUGUACAUUGAUUGCACGAAAACGCAUUGGUAACUCGAUGUUAUAAAACGUGCCUUUGUGUAUGAUUCAACAAGUAGUAGAAAUAUCCAUAUGAGUCGAAGUUUAUCCAUUCCUUUUACCUUCUGGAUAAAAGCGAUAUCUAUGGGCCCCUUGAUGAUUUGGUGAUGACAAAUGUAAGUGCUUGGCCGGGCAUGGACUGAUUUGAUUUGUUCAAUUAGUUUGUCGUCAUAAAUCGGAAAUCGGGAAACAACAAAUGGAUAGAGAGAAUGAUUUUAAUCCAUGUAUCAGUCCAUAUGAUAUCUAGAAUGGAGGAAUAUAUGAUCCCUUAUCUAAUGGACAAGUCAUUGACAAAGGUCAUAGAUCAUCGGCAAGGUCAGAGUUUGCCAGAAGCUUUUGAGAGCUACGAUUUCCAGUCGGUUCUUGAAGUGAUACUUGCAAUAAUAGUUUUAGACUUAUCCAAGUGGGAGACUGUUGGAUUAAUGUCGAAGUCCAUAACUAUAAUUGGUAAGACUUGACCCGACCCGGCAUGGUCCAUUUGGGUUUCAUGGCAUCAUGCAUUUGGAUAGACUAUAAUGAGAGAAAUAACACUUAAUGUUUCUUAGUAUAUUAUAAGUUCUAAUAUAUUAAUAAGAUUAUUUAAUUAGUAUUGAUCAAGAAUUAAUCUAGGAUUAAUUAUGUGAUCAAAAGAAGACUAAUUAAAUAUAUGGUUUGAUUGUGUAAAUCAUCCAUACUUGUAUAAUGGGCUAAUGCUUCAUGGAUUGUCAAGUUCGGCUAAAACCCAUAGGAUGCUCCAUGGAUGCUCCAUUGUGUAUUUGAACCCAUGGAUCCAAGGAAAUGGAAAUCCAUGACAAUUAGGGUUUACCCUAAUUGUCACUAAGUAUAUAAUCAUCUUAUUGUUGACAAAAUCAGCACUAGAUUAUAUGUGAAAGGGCUAGCGGAUUUUUAUGAAGUGUAGAUUUCUCUCUAAUCUAUUGCAAGUGUAUUUGGUGUUGUGUGAACCAUUUGAGGUGUCACAAUUGGGGCACUAGGCACUCAAGCUUCCUGGAGACAAUCUACAUCAAAGAGGUAUGUAAUUCUAACUUGAGAUAUUCAUAUAAAUCAAUGUUAUUAUGCUAGUUAGGAUGAAUACCUUGGAAAGUUCAUAUUUGCAUGUAUAAUAGAGAAAACAUAGAUCCAAGGUAUUUAGGGUUGCAUGUACACUUAGGCGUGUUAGAAUGCUCAAAACCCAAUAGUGGUAUCAGAGCCUAGGCUUGUUUUCAAUUAUACUUGAUGCAAAUUGCUUAACUCGCCGAGUCCAUGAAGAAAAUCAUCCUACUCGUCGACUUCAUAACCUGACUAGCAAUCGUAGCUCCUAAAGCCGCUGUCGAACUCUGAACAAAUCAAAUGACACGUCCAUUAGAUAAGUGAUCAUAUAUUCCUCCAUUCUAGAUAUCAUAUGGACUGAGUCAUGGAUUAUAAUCAUUCUCUCUGUCCAUUUGUUGUUUCUCAAUUUUUGAUUUAUGACAACUGACUAAUUGAACAAAUCAAAUCAGUCCAGGCUUGGCCAAGCACUUAAGGGUGUCAUCACUAAAUGAUCGAGGGGCCCACAUAUAUCGCUUUUAUCUUUAUGAGGUAAAAGGAAUGGAUAAACUUCGACUCAUAUGCUUGUACUAACUACUUGUUGAAUCAUACACAAAGGCACGUUUUAUAACAUCAAGUUACUGAUGCGUUUUUGUGUAAUCAAUGUAUAACCAACUCAUAGUCAACAACUCAUAUCUCUAGGUUUGAAGAAUAUAAGAUAUUAUCGUCUUAGGAUUCACUCAAGUUAAAAUCCAUGAAGUGAUUCAAAUGAGCGUGGGUUUAAUCCAAUACUCAGAGCCUAUGAGCACUCAUGAAUGUUGUAGUGACCAUUGCUAUGUGUAAUGCACCUUAGACAAAUCUUACAUGCCAGAUUCGUGACAGUCUUAAUUCAAUACCCACUUCCAACGUAUGACCGACUGUGGAGAGUUUGAAUAAAAUAAUUAUUCUGGAAGUCAAACAUGCAAACUAAUAUACAAGAAUAAUGCUAAUCCUAUAUGGCCCCAACACUUUGAGUGUAAAUAAAAUCCCUUUUAUCUAAGCACCAUAUUGAUUACCCAUUAUUCAUUGUUUCGAUUUAUCAACUUAACACUUGAAUUGAAUCAAUAGUCAUGCCAUGCACCAAGGAUGCAUACUAUGUUUACCUAUGGUCCUUUCUUUUGUGAAAUAGAUCAAUUGAACACGACUCCAAUUAUGCUCAUUUCACAAUUCCAAUCUCUUUUUGUAAAUGUAAGAAUACCAAACUCUUGCCAUUUACUAUAAUAUGUUAGAUUCUAAACUUAUAUGCAAUGAUUCUCUUGUAAUGACUAUGCACAAAAGUCAAAAGGACUUGGCAACAGACAUUACAAAGUAUUCCAAUGGAGAUCAAUUCCAUGCAAAUGAAGUCUCAUAUUCAAAGUACAUUCCCUUGAACAUCCUUCUUUGCAUUAAGUUUUCUUAUCUUACACAGAUUCAGAGAAUAACUUCCACCUAUGGAAAGAAUUCCAUAUUACCAUUGUGACUAUCACUUGUAAACAAGAGUUGCCUCUUUUCAGAAUAUUUCAAUAUGGUCUUUUCCAAAGUUUAACACUAUACUUCCAAUUGUCCACGAGCAACCAAUCAUUGGUAAACCUCAGAUCGUCUUCGACAAUUGCUUAAUCAUUUUAUUCAUAUCCAGUUUUAUUCCUUUUUCUUUUUUAAUGCCUUAAGCAUUUGGAAAUUUUAGAAUGGAUGUAAUCGAUCCUAUACCCAAAGCAUAUGGGACGCGAUUCAUGCUAUAAAAAAAAUUUAUUUUCCAUGUUCUCACAAUUCGAAUAUGAAGAGGGAUGUCAUAAUCAGAAUCGAAUUUUGAGAACACCACAUAUAUAAAAUUUCCUUAUGUUGAACCAUUCCAACAUCACAUUCAUAUAUAUCCUUGACUAAAGCUGAUUAAAAUCUCAAUCUAAGUUUGUAGAAUUGGAAUGAAGUAUAAAAUGCUCUCUCUUAAUUAUUGUAAAACAACUUUUCAAACCCGAAUUGAAACUUUUGUUUUCUAUAAAUAACAUUGCUAACUUGCAACAGUUAACAUAAUAAUCAUGCUCCCACUAACAUGAUGAUUAUUAGCAUAACACUUAUGCUCCCACUAGCUUUGACAUGUACUCAGAAAUCAGCUGGACUUUUGGAAAUCAAUACUUUAUUGAAUUCCUUACCAAAGUUCAGAUUUCUGAUACGAGAUUGGUUUGAUAAGAAUGUAUCAAAAUCAUACACCUUUCCUUAGAUAGCUCACAUGUGUGUCUAAACAAUUUUAGAACUAUGAAAAGGGAUGUCGUAAUCAUAUUCUCAAUCGUUUAGACCUUUUCCAUUUCUCACAAGUCUAUGUUAGUGUGCCGGUUAACCACACGCGCUCCACUAACGACUUUGAGAAUGCAAAUAUUACACUUGCUAUCUUCUUAAAAUCUACUAUGUGAAAGCAUUUCCUCACCAUCAUUUUCAUAAAUCGGAGAGAAACUUUAUGACACUUAGAUUUUAUGGUUUAUGUGUUCCUAUCCAUGUGAAUUUGUCAUAACCAUAAUCAUAAGACAAGGUUAGUGACAAAUCCAAAAUCAUAUAGACUAAACUUGCCCAAUCUCAUUUUCUUGCCACCUGGCAACAGAAGUGCCUACCAAUGCUUCUAGGUUGUUAUGCAAACAAUUGAGAACUUAUAAAACUCACAAACAUAGUUAGCUUAAACUAGAAUGGGCACAAAAACAGAAAUAUGUCAACACAAUGGGUUACAAACCUCAAGUUGUGUACUAGCGAUUAAACAAUGGGUUUUAUUAUUGAUUAGCUCUUGAAACUUCUCUAAGAUAUUUAAGACUCCCACUGUCUUCUUGACAUAUGACAUUCUCUUGUCAAGAACCAUUCCUUGACAAAACAAAUAUUCAAGAGUUAGUGCGGAUUCUUAUCAAGAUAAAAACUUCUCACAAUUGGUUUUAGUUGGUCUCUAUUUUAUCCAAAACAUCACAACUUACCAAUUUCAAAUGUACAAGAGUAAGAAACGUGUUACUCUUACAUUUGACAAGUGUUAGAAACCUUUCUUAAAAUUAUGUCACUCAAGUUACAAUCUUAGAGUAUGACUCUGAGACUUGUUUUGGAAUGAAGUACGAUUUAUUGUCACACCCCAAAACCUAUAACGGUGGAAACGUUCUGGGGCGGAGGACGUCUUGUACAGUAUCACAACAUAUUAUAAUAGUAAACAAGUAAACAACAUCAUCUAUUGCAUUAAAUAUAUAAUUUUAAUAUAAGUGUUCUGUAAUAUAUAAGACACCAAAAUAUGAAUCAAAAUAAAGAUGAGUCUUGAAUGCGCUCCAUCUUCUCAAAAGCUGGCAUUGGUACCUGUCUACUGAUGACCUGAGAAUACAAGUUAUUUUGAAAGAGUUUAUUAGCAUUAAAGCUGGUGAGUUCAUAAGUAUUUAGUGUUUAUGUUUGUAUCAAAAUGUUUGAAACGGUGUUUGAAGUACGAGUUUUGUAAACGUUUGUAAUAAAAGUAUGUGAGUGUUUGUAUCUCCUAGAAAAUCCUAUAUUUUCUACUAAAAGUAGCCUUCUACCAAGGCACAACUGUUUUGUAUGUUUGUUUCUUGUAAAAGUGUGUAAUUGUUCCCAAGUGUAACUAUCAUUAUCAAAAUAUAGUUUGUACAUUAAUGUUUAAGUGAAAUGAUCACCAAAUAAAUGUAAAGGGUAAAUUAAUGUAGUACUGUAGUGUUGUAUUAUAGGAACUACUGCUGUACUAACUACCUUAAACCGGAUUUAUAUCAAGGUAUUAUGUGAUUAAUUGUACCAUACUAUCGACUGGAAAACACGACAACGUAAGUCGUCAAAAGGUAUGACAUUUGGCACCCGCAGACCUACGGGUUCGGCUGUAGCUAGCAGCAAGGUGUAGGAUAGUCAAUCCAGUAUAGAUCUAUACGUAAACUCACGCUCUCCCUCUAGUAGACUCUGGUUACAACUCGGGCCAAGACAAUGAAGGCAUGCUCCGAUACAGUGGAUCACAUUUAUGUUAAAGUAUACUUGUAUAUGUAAUGUAUUGUUUCUCAUCAUAGUAUCUUUGUAUAUGUUCUCAUCAUAGUAUAGUUGUAUAUGUUCUCAUCAUAGUAUAGUUGUAUAUGUUCCCAUCAUAGUAUAAUUGUAUAUGUUCUCAUAGUAAUAAGUAAUGACUCAUGAAUGAACUGACUCUUGUAUGCUUCGUUGAACUAGAAGUAGUAAGUAGUAUAACUCUAAACUAUACCUAUUAUAGUUUAUUAGUAAACUUGAUUGAAUGAUUGAAUGUACUGAACUGAGAGAAAAGUCUUUAUAUCUAUACUGUGACAACCCGGAAUUUCUAACUUGUGCAUUCCUCAAUUUUUAUUAAAGAUAGCCUCGUUUUGCUAUUUUAUAAUAAAGUUUUGGGUCUACUUGGGUGCUUAAGGCUUAGUAUAACCUAGAUAUAAGUCUUAGGAAGGGUGAGAAUGUGUGUAGCAUCACAAAAUCGGGCCAAACACACCCAACAAGGUGUGUGCGGCCGCACACCCGAGUGUGCGGCCAGCCAGCCGCACACAACCAACCGCACACCCCCCUAGCCUCACACUCCAGCCUAUAUAAAGGACCUAAGUCAACCUUACACCCUUUUUCACACUCCUUCAAGUUGGAACAUUCUCUCUCAAGAGCUCUUCAAGUUUUCCUCUCCAGCCAUCAAAAAAAGUAAGUAAACACCCUUAGAUCUUUACUAAAACAUGUUGGAAAGCCUUUGCCUUGAGUUUGAUCCAUGAAAUCAUCAUUUUAGAUGAUCUUUAUGUGUGUACGGCCGCACACACAUCUUUUGGCCCUAAAAUGGGCCUAUACACUCACCCAAGCUUAACAUUGACAAAAAAAACCUUCUUAGAAUCAUCACAAAGCCUUGGAAAAUUGAUUUGGCCAAGUUUGUAGGAGUGUGUAUGGCCGCACACACCAUGUGCAACCGCACACACCCUUUUUAAGGUCCAAAAUUGCCCCAAACUCCCAAUCCGGCCAAGAAAUUGUCGAAACACCUUCACUAGAUAGUCCCAAAUGCUUGGAACCACGAUUUUGACACACUCCAUAGUGAGUGUGCCCCACACACAUAAAAACCAUGUUUUAGUGACCUUACACCCCAAUAUAGGGCUAUACACUCCUUAUGUGCAACCAUAUGAGUUGAUAACACUUAAUUCUAAGUGUUUCACAUCCCUAGUACAUGUCUCUAUCAUCAUUAGUGGUGAUAACUACUAAUGUAUUCACACAUAUGUAAUUAUACGUUAAAUAGGAUUUACUUGCGCUCAAGGCUCCAUUUGACACCCAACAAUCCUAUAGCGAUCUUUCAUUCGUGUUACUCACUGCAGGUGAGUUUAUACCCCUUAAUUGACGUUUUAAAUGUUUUUAAAUGAUUUUAUGGGGGGGGGGGGGAAUACAAGUUGAACCCAACAUGUUAUAGAUUCAAUCACAUGUGAUUAUGACUUGCAACCAAAAAGGAUUUUCUAUAAUUUUAACUGCUUUGCCAACAAAACUGCUCUAAAUGUUUAUCAAACUCAUUUUUCGUGUUAAAUUGUUAUAAAAAUAUUUCCAAACUCUUUUAAAAAAAAUCUAUUUUGUUCCCAAACUAUAUCUACAUUAAUAUAUUUAUAUAAGUAAGACUUGAAGGACUUAGGACUGAUAGCUCGCCUAACUUCCUGUUCUUGUUUGAUUGUGGACCUAGGGUAUCUUGUUAUCUGUAUGAAUGUCGUUGAAUUCUUAGUUAUAUAUCAUAUAUAUUUGUGUUGGAUAUAAAAGGCUUCCCUUUAGUUUAAUACCUUUGUGUAUGAAAGGCAUGCAUCUAACACCUCUAUUUAACUAUAAUAGGCAUAGUUAAGGUUUACCGCUCAUUAUUGCUAUUACCAUGACACUCACUAUAGUUAGUAAUGUUAUGAGGCUAUACAUGUUGAAUACUAUACAAGGAGAAUACCAUAUAGUAUACAAGAGAACACUCAAUACACUAUACCAAAGAGUACAUUAUACUAUAAUACAAGAGAAUAUACUAAAACAAGAUGUGACAUGCUACUCCUCGUUACGACACUUCACUGUGCCAUUGCCGUGUAACCAGAGUCUCCUGGAGGGAGAGCGGGCAUAUUGUGUGUAGAUCUAUACAGGACAGACACUCCCACAUCCUGACUGCUAGCUACAGUCCGAGCCGACUAGGCCCAGGGGUGACAAAAUGUCACCAUACUACGUGUGAUCUGGAGGGUCAUCAGUUAUUCGAUCGUCAGUCAGCAUGGUUACAUACGAGUCCACAUUUAGACCUUUAAUUAACACAUUAAAAAUUAAAGGCAAAACAGAAUCCCCGAGGUGUAUUGUGCAUUUAAUACUACCUGGAGUCUGCAUUUUUAUUUCAUUCAUCCGAAAGUGACACGGCUGGGGUAACACAUUAUUUUCCCAUUUACUUUACAUGAAUGUAGUCUAAAACUAUACUUUAUAACUGACAUUAUUAUUGGGAAAGCUUUUACACUCUCAAGGAAUCAAACUUACAAAUAACCAAGUCUUGGUAGAAGACUACUUUUACUGGAAAAUAUAGGAUUUUCUAGGGAUUGUACUAUUUUCAAACUUUGAUAAAAGCUUUCAUUUCACAUGAUCGUAAACACUUUUAUACAAGCAAUGACAAUAAAUACUUAUGAACUCACCAACUUUAUGCUGAUGCUCGUUUUCAAAAUAACUUGUAUUCUCAGGUCGUCAGUAGACAGGUACAGAUACAACUUUUGAGAAGAUGGAGCACAUACAAGACUCUUUUAUUUUGAUUAUACUUUUGGUGUUUAACAAACUGUACAGAACACGCUUGUAUUACAAUUAUUAUAAUAAUACAAUGGAUGUCGGUUGCUUGUCUUUACUAUUAUGCAUUGUUAUGAUACUGUACAUGACGUCCUCCAGCCCAGAACGUAUUCCGCCGUUCUGGGUUUUGGGGUGUGACAUAUACAUAUAUACAUAAUAUAUAACUAAGGGUUCAACGACCCUCUGACAAACAACCGAGUACUUUAAGACCACAACCAAACAAGGAUAGGAAGUAAAGUGGGGUAUCUCUCCUAAGUCCUUCAAACCUUAUUUAUAUAACUAUAUAUGUAAUAGACAUGGUUUUAACAAUAUAUAAGUUUGAAAACUGUACAAGAAAGGUUUUGUAUACAAAAGUGAAUUUGAUAAAGAGUUUGAUAUGUAAAAUCGUUUGAUAAACAGUUUGAAGUCAUUUGAUUGGUAAAACAGUUUAAAGUAUGAAAAUCCAUUUGUAUGUUAGUUAUUAAUCACAUGUGAUUGAUAUAAUAACUAAUCAUGAUUUAACUUGUAUUCCCCCCAUAAAGCAUUUAUAAACAUUUAAAAUCAUUUAAAAGGUUAAUUAAGGGGUAAGAACUCACCAGCUUUAAUGGUGAUAAACUCUUUCAAAAUAACUUGUAUUCUCAGGUCAUCAGUAGACAGGUACCGAUGCCAACUUCUGAGAAGAUGGAGCGCAUUCAAGACUCAUCUUUAUUUUGAUUCCUGUUUUGGUGUCUUGUAUAUUACAGAACACUUGUAUUAAAAUUAUAUAUUUAAUGCAAUAGAUGAUGUUGUUUACUUGUUUACUAUUAUACUGUGUUGUGAUACUGUACAUGAUGUCCUCCGCCUCAGAACGUUUCCGUCGUUCUAGGUUUUGGGAUGUGACAGAUUGGUAUCAGAGCAUUGUUUAUAGUGAAUUGAGUAUAUCAACCCAUAAAAGAUAUACUAACUAUAAACACAUUGGGAUUAAAACACUCUGACCAAGAGUCUAUACUUUUAAAUAAUAAAAUAUUUAAUUAAGUAUGCAAGUCUACAUUCAUACUAAAAUCAGUGUCACAAUGACAAAUACAAAAGUAUUACGAUUGUUGAAUAUAUCACAAUUAAGCUCGGGUAUGUAUGGUCAGUCCUGGGAAUAGCAUAGCCUACUCAAGUAUGCUGGUCCGAGGAGUGAUUAGCAUAUGCCCUAGAAUGGUUAUGAUAUGGCAACAAGUCUAAAAACUUACCAACACUACUACAAUGAAAGCACUAGAAUAGAACAUAAGUUUAAAAUACUAUAAGAGUAUUUUGUGUUACUAUAAUCACUUACCUAAGAACUAAAAAGGUCUCUAUCAAGUAGGUCAAUAGUCGUUCUGUGGGUACGCUAAGGUUAUAUGAAAUUCAGGUGUUAUAGACUCAGAAUUUGUGAUCUUUGCUUCACUUCGUGUCCUUGUUUGGUUGUGGAUUUGGAGUUAGGACCACUUAUUCGAAGGUGUAUCCUACUUCGAUUUCAUAUAACUGGUAUACACUAAACAAGUAUUGAAAUAACUGAUAAAGAUCCUCUUAUAAUUAUCUUAAAUAGUACGUCUAUUUUUUUAAGAUUCUUAUACCCCUUUUCUCGCGUAGAUUUCAUGGCUGGAUUUCAUCAUGGCGACCUGUACUUUCCACCCCACGGCAAUGCUGGAUGGCUUGAAGAAGAGCCCAAAGAUGAGCAUCCAAUCCCUUUGGAUGAUAACCUCGCAGAAGGCUUCUCGGAUAGAUCUAACUCUGAGCCAGAAGUCAACAAUCUACCCCAAGUAGGUCAAGCCCCAAUUAACAACCCAGACCCGCGUUUCAAGGUCCCACACCCUUGUAGGAAACAAACUUGAAUCGAUGGAAUGACGAAAAAGGUCAACCCUUACCCUACAACGGGGACCGAAGCCUCUACAACAUAUUUGAGGGUGGCUCGGCUGACCAAGACCUACCCAUCAUGGUCUAUAGGAUUGCUCGGAAUGUGGAGCAAGGUCGAGCAGCCAUCGGCCGAGUAGUGGAGAUUGAUGCAAACACUGGUGUCAACAUGGUCUGCAUUCUCCAUCUCGAAGAGGCAAUGGAAAGGACCAAAAGGACUAAUGAGACUCUGCAGCAACAGCUAGCUACCUCACGAGCUGAAGUCACAGAACUUCGAGUUCGCCAAAGGGCUCAUGAAUGACACCUACAAGAAGUGAUCUGUCAGAUGGAAGACCUUAGGGUUCGCUCGGGGAAUUCCCAUCGUCGUUAAAAGAUUUCUAGCACAUCUUUUCUUUUGAUUAAGGAAUAGCCUUUCGUAUUUGUGCUCUAUGAAGCACUUGUCUGUAAAAUUUUCUAUCUUUCAGUACACUAUCUAGUCUACUAAACUGUCAAACAGUUUUCCCUCAUAUGGCUUGAUGUAAGACCUACUGUUAGGUCGUUUUUCCUGAAUUCCUUUACAUCAGUAAUACCAUUAAUAUUGGCAGUUAUCUAAUCUGUUGGAAAAAUAUGUACUCUUGUGUUUUUCGUACACUUCUGCUAUACUGCUAUUUCAAAACACACACUCAUUCAACUGUUGGACUAUGACGAUUUAGCACAUAGAACACUCUCAUUAUGCUUACUAUUGAUUCUAACCACCAUGUACAUUUCUACUUUAAACUUAUAGUUGAAAGAUGCCUCCUCGCAAAUCAACAAGGCGUAAUCUUCCACCUCCUCCACCAUCACAUCCUUUGGCAAUCGGUAUCGCAGCUCUGAAUGCUGCAGUAGCUGCAGCAGUGGCAACUGCCAUGGCUCAAUAUCACUCCACUGAUGCCAGUAGAGGUGGAACCCCUGUUAACUCUACUGAAGGUGAACUCAUUAUGCGCUCGAGAGAGUGCUCCUACAAGGACUUCACUAACUGCAAGCCAAAGUCCUUCAAGGGGACUGGUGGACUUAACUAACAGAGUCGGUCAUCGAAAUUUUUUCCUUCCCUGCCGCGAGUAUGGUCAAGUUUGCCGCUUGCAACUUUGAGGAGAAAGCCCUGAAAUGGUGGAACAGCCAUGUCAAGUGACUCACUCUUGUAGUGGCAAACGACAUGGGUUGGGAAACUAUGAAAGACCUCAUGAUUGAGGAGUACUUCCCGAGGGGCGAGAUCCAGAAGUUGGAACAGGAGCUGUGGAGCCUAACCAUGAGGGGCUCCAACAUAGUCGUGUAUACCGCUAAAUUCAGUGAACUGGUGGCCCUCUGUCCCAACAUGGUUCCCACUGAAGGGAAAAAGAUCGAGAGGUACAUCUGGGGGCUGGUGCCUCCGUAUCAGGGGAAUGUCUUAUCUUCACACCCUGCUACUUUCGACAGUGCCAAAUAAUUGGCACAAUGACUAAUCGAUCAUGGAGUCCAAUCCCCAUCAUCAACAACAACCCUGGCCAUCUCAGAACCCUCCAAAACCGCUGACAAUAAGCGGAAGUUCAGGGAUGACAAGAAGAAACAACGAGCUGCCAAAAAGCAGCAUAUUGUGGCAGUUCAUGUCGCGAUAACACCCGCUGCUACUGUUCCAGUGAAGCAGUACACAGGAAGUUUACCAAAGUGCAACAAAUGCAACUUCCACCACAACGGUCCCCCACCGGGAAAUGCAGUGCUCCAACUGCAACAAGAAAGGACACAAUGUCCGUUUCUGUAAAUCUCCGGCAAAGCCAAUCAUCCAAGUUCCCGACGCUGGCGUGGGCCAGGCUUGCUAUGGAUGCGGCAAUGUGGGCCACUAUAAAAGCGACUGCCCCAAAGCAAGAAAUGCUGAUGGAGCAGGAAGAGUUUUGGCUAUAGGCCACGGGGAAGCAGUUGUCGACCCAAUGGUGGUAACUGGUACGUUUCUCCUCGAUACCUCUUAUGCAUGCAUACUGUUUGAUAGCAGAGCGGAGAGAAGCUUCGUAAAUCAUAAAUUUACUCGCCUACUUAAACAAAAACCACGCACACUUAAGGAACCAUUCACUGUAGAAAUGGCAAAUGGGAAAACUGAGAGCACGAAUAGCAUGUACAUAGGAUGUACCCUAACUCUAGAUAGCCAUUCAUUUCCAAUCGACCUCAUGCCGGUCUUGAUUAAACGCUUCGACGUUAUCAAUGGCAUGGAUUGGUUGAGUCUUCAUCGCGCCGAUAUCAGGUGCUACGAGAAAGCAGUCAGUCUAAAUCUUCCGGCUAAUGAAAUUCUCAUCAUCUACGACGACAAAUCCGGUACGAGUCUUCGUAUUAUCUCAAGUAUUCAAGCACAAAAGUAUCUACGUAAGGAAUAUCGUGCAUUCCUAGCUCACGUUGCCCAUAUGAGCCUAGAAACGAAAGAACUAAAGAACAUCCUAGUAGUGAGUUCAGAAUCGACUUAGUCCCAGGAGCUACCCAGGAGCUACCCAGUAGCCAAAUCGCCCUACCGCUUAGCACCAGCAGAGAUGCAGGACUACAAGGAUUACCUCCGCAACGACAAGUCGAGUUCAGAAUCGACUUAGUCCCAGGAGCUACCCAGGAGCUACCCAGUAGCCAAAUCGCCCUACCGCUUAGCACCAGCAGAGAUGCAGGAACUUGUUCGUUAACUUAACGAACGACUUAGUAAGGGCUUUAUUAGACCAAGCUUCUCACCCUGGGGAGCGCCGGUCUUGUUCGUUAAGAAGAAAGACGGAUCAUUCUGUAUAUGUAUCGACUACAGAGAACUCAACAAACCGACGGUCAAAAGUCGUUACCCUCUGCCUCGCAUAGAUGAUUUAUUUGACCAACUGCAAGGGGCGAGUUACUUUUAUAAAAUUGAUCUAAGAUCCGGAUAUCACCAUUUACGAGUGCUAGAGGAGGAUGUCCCAAAGACAGCCUUCCGAACUCGUUACAGACACUACGAGUUCGUGGUGAUGCCAUUCGGAUUGACCAAUGCGCCUGCAGUGUUCAUGGACUUAAUGAAUAGAGUGUGUUGUCCUUACUUGGAUUAGUUCGUCAUCGUUUUCAUUGAUGACAUCCUGAUCUACUAUCGAAGUAAGGAAGAGCAUGGCGAUCACCUGCGACAAGUUCUAGGAACUUUACGAACGGAGAAGCUCUAUGAGAAGUUCUCUAAAUGUGAAUUUUGGAUCCGAAGAGUCGAAUUCUUAGGAAACAUGGUUAGCAAAGAGGGAAUCCACGUGGACCCAUCCAAAAUUAAGGGCAUUAAAAACUGGUCAGCACCGAAGACGCCUACAGAAAUUCGUCAAUUUCUAGUUCUCGUUGGAUACUACCGCAAGUUUAUACAGAACUUCUCCUGGAUUGCGAAACCUUUUACUACACUGACCCAAAAAGGAGUGGCCUUUGAUUGGGAAGAGAAACAAGAAAAAGCGUUUCAAGCGCUGAAGCAAGCCUUAUGCACCGCGCUGAUACUAUCCCUCCCCGAAGGAAUAGAAGUCUUCGUUGUAUACUGCGAUGCAUCCAACCAAGGGCUCGGUUGUGUUCUGAUGCAACGAGGUAAGUUCAUCGCCUAUGCCUCGAGACAACUGAAGACACAUGAAGUCAACUAGACCAUGGAAGAUCUUGAGUUGGGGGCAGUUGUGUUUGCCCUGAAGAUCUGGAGACACUACCUGUAUGGUACGAAAAAGCACCAUCUUUACAGAUCACAAGAGUUUAGAACACAUAUUCGAUCAGAAGGAGCUCAACAUGAUACAAUGACAGUGGGUCGAGCUACUCAACGAGUAUGAAUGCGAAAUUUGUUAUCAUCCGGGUAAAGCCAAUGUAGUAGCAGACGCCCUAAGUUAGAAAGAAUAUUCUGGUCGAAGGGUCAAAUCGUUGACAAUGACUAUCCAUUCACACUUGUCUACACAAAUUCAGGAGGCUCAACUUGAAGUCUUGAAACCUGAAAAUGUGGCGGCUGAAUCCCUUAGAGGAAUGGAUAAGAACUUAGAUGCCAAGGGUGGCGGAGCCUUAUAUUACAUGGACCGGAUCUGGACACCGAAACAUGGUGGCUUCUGAGACUUGGUGAUGACCGAGGCGCACAACACUCAUUAUUCCGUCCAUGUAGGUUCAGAUAAGAUGUAUUUGGAUCUUAAAAAGUUAUAUUGGUGGCCUAACAUGAAAGCAGAGAUUGCUACCAUCGUAAGUAAAUGCCUUACUUGCGCAAAGGUUAAGGUCGAGUACCAGAAACCCUCCGGUCUUCGACAACAACCGGAGAUACCAUAAUGGAAGUGGGAGCAGAUCACUAUGGAUUUCAUAACCAAGUUUCCCAAGACAACGGGUGGACUUGAUACCAUAUGGGUCAUCGUCGAUAGAUUGACCAAGUCUGCACACUUCCUGCCUAUCAAGGAAACUGACAAGAUGGAGAAGCUUACGAGAACAUACAUUAGGGAAAUCGUAAAACUGCAUGGUGUUCCUAUAUCCAUUAUCUCCGAUAGAGAUAGUAGGUUCACUUUGAGGUUCUGGCAGUCACUACAAAGUUCCCUAGGAAUGAGGCUGGACAUGAGUACAGCCUACCAUCUUCAGACCGAUGGACAAAGUGAGAGAACCAUCCAAACAUUGGAAGAUAUGUUGAGAUCCUGUGUGAUCGACUUUGGGAAGGCAUGGGAUACUCACUUACCCCUUGUCGAAUUUUACUACAAUAACAGUUAUCACACGAGCAUCGAGUCUGCUCCAUUCGAAGCCCUUUAUGGCCGGAAGUGCAGAUCCCCUCUGUGCUUGGCUGAGGUGGGUGACACCCGGUUAGCUAAAGGAUGAGUUCCUGACAGCAUUCUCACAGGUCCGGAAAUCAUUUGAGAAACGAUGGAGAAGAUCGUUUAGAUUCGUGAACGAUUGAAAGACUCUAGAGGUCGACAUAUAAGCUACGAAAAAAGUGGAGGAAACCUUUGGAAUUCCAGGUGGGAGACCGCGUUCUUUUGAAAGUAUCACCCUGGAAGGGCUUGAUACGCUUCGGAAAGAACUGGAAGCUAAAUCCAAGAUACAUAGGGCCUUUCGAGAUUCUCGCUAGAAUCGGCCCUGUAGCUUAAAAACUCCAUCUACUAAACAAACUUAGUAACGUACAUUCUACAUUCCACGUCUCAAACUUGAAAAAGUGUCUGUCCGACGAGACUCUUGUAAUCCCACUCGACGAGAUCGAUAUCAACGAGAGCCUCAACUUCGUGGAAGAACCUGUGGAGAUAUGGACCAUGGGGUCAAGCAAACGAAACAAAGCCGUAUCCCGAUUGCGAAGGUUCGCUGGAACGCCAAGUGAGGACCGGAAUUCACAUGGGAGCGCGAUGAUCAAAUGAAAUUGAAAUAUCCUCAUUUAUUCGCUUAGUUAUUUGUAACUAUUUUGUUUGCUUAAACUCUAAUUUCAGGACGAAAUUCCCUUUAACGGGGGGAUGAUGUGACAACCCGAAAUUUUCAUUAGGACAAAGUCUAAAGUCAAUCACUUCAAAUAAAAGUCAAUUACAUUUCUAAUAAUUGUUAGCCAAUUUAAAAGUUCAUUUGAGUGUUUUUAGUGUUUAUUCUUUAAACGAACGAAGGAAAGGAAGUACCGCCUCGGGUUUUGAAGUAGCAAACCCACCGAUUGCACCCUAACAAAGAUUUCACGGCCAAAAUUUUGGAGUUUGGGCCGUAAACUCUCCCAUGGCCAUGAACUCAUGCCUUAGGCAUGAGUUUACUCCCCAAACUCUUCAUUUCUAACUUUCAUUCUCAAGAAAACCCUCUAUUCUCUCUCAACUAUCAUCCCGUUCUUCACCCGAUCUUCUAAAAACAUAAGUGUUUCUCGACUUGAUUUUUUGUUAUAACCUAACAUGUAGUAGUUAUACAUCAUUUCAUCCAUUCAUUAUUGAUUUAUAGCUAGAUCUUCAAGUGUUCCUCAAAACACCAAGAACACCAAGAACACACACUAGUGUUCUUGGACCAUAAACACCAAAUCAAGCUUCUAUCUUGUAAGUACACUUGCCCUAGCUUCUUGUGUGCUUAAUAUGAACUUUAUAACACUUGAAAAUCAUAAAAUAUCAUAAGAACAAAGGAGUUUAUGGCCAAGGAUGUUACUGGGCCGUAAACCCCUCUUAAGGUGGUAAAAUGGACCUUAGUCCCUUCCUAAGCCUUGGAUGCCAACCUUGAUCCUUCCUAGAAGUGUUUAAGUUCUUAAACAACAAUCAAAACAAGUCCCCAAGAGAGUUUACAGUCGUAAACACCUAAGGAUAUGGUCCUUUGGCCGUAAACUCCACAAGGUAGCCUUAUUAUGCCCCUAAUGCUUUCCUAAGGCUUGGACUUGAUUAUUUGAUACCCAACCAUGACUUGUAAGACCUCAAAACACAUUAUGGCACUUAGUACCAUGAGUUUAAGGCCAUAAACUCAUGGGGAAAUGGUCAUGGGCCAUAAACUCCAUAAGGAGUGUUUCGUAGGCCAUAAACUCCAAUGUCAUGCCAUACAACCCUUAGAUGCAACUCUUUGGUACCCAUAACACUUGAAUCAAAAUGUUUCCAUGACCUAGGGUGUCUUAACUUGAUUAAUUAGUUGUUAAUUUACUAAUUAUAUACAUAUAUUUUUAUUAUAUGAUAACUAGGACCAUUGUGAGUGUUCAAGUCCUCACUUGACACCUAGCACCUUGUCCGACACUUCCGAUCAAACCACUCACUACAGGUGAGUUCAUACCCCUUAAUUAACCUUUUAAAUGAUUUUAAAUGUUUAUAAAUGCUUUAUUGGGGAGGGGGUGGUAAUACAAUUUGAAUCAUGAUUAGUUAUUAUAUCAAUCACAUGUGAUCAAUAACUAACAUACAAAUGGAUUUUCAUACUUUAAACUGUUUUACCAAUCAAAUGACUUCAAACAGUUUAUCAAACUAUUUUACAUAUCAAACUCUUUAUCAAAUUCACUUUUUUGUACUAAACCUUUCUUGUAUAGUUUUCAAACUUAUAUAUUGUUAAAACCAUGUCUAUUACAUAUAUAGUUAUAUAAAUAAGGUUUGAAGGACUUAGGAGAGAUAACCCACUUUACUUCCUAUCCUUGUUUGGUUGUGGUCUCAAAGUACCCGGUUGUUUGUCCGAGGGUCGUUGAACCCUUAGUUAUAUAUUAUGUAUAUAUGUAUUGAUAUAAAGACUUUUCUCUCAAUUCAGUACAUUUAAUCAUUCAAACAAGUUUACUAAUAAACUAUAAUAGCUAUAGUUUAGAGUUAUACUACUUACUACUUCUAGUUCAAUGAAGCAUACUAGAGUCAGUUCAUUCAUGAGCCAUUACUUAUUACUAUGAGAACAUAUACAACUAUACUAUGAUGGGAACAUAUACAACUAUACUAUGAUGAGAACAUAUACAACUAUACUAUGAUGAGAGCAUAUAAAACGAUACUAUGAUGAGAAACAAUACAUUACAUAUACAAGUAUACUUUAACAUAAAUGUGAUCCACUGUAUUGGAGCAUGCCUUCAUUGUCUUGGCUCGACUUGUAACCAGAGUACCCUGGAGGGAGAGCGUGAGUUUGCGUAUAGAUUUAUACUGGAUUGACAAUCCUACACCUUGUUGCUAGCUACAGCCGAACCUGCAGGUCUGCGGGUGCCAAAUGUCAUACCUUUUGACGACUUACAUUUGUCGUGUUUUCCAGUCGAUAGUAUGGUACAAUUAAUCACAUAAUACCUUGAUAUAAAUCUGGUUUAAGGUAGUUAGUAUAGCAGUAGUUCCUAUAAUACAACACUACAGUACUACAUUAAUUUACCCUUUACAUUUAUUUGGUGAUCAUUUCACUUAAACAUUAAUGUACAUACGAUAUUUUGAUAAUGAUAGUUACACUUGGGAAAAAUUACACAGUUUUAUAAGAAACAAACAUACAAAACAGUUGUGCCUUGGUAGAAGGAUACUUUUAGUUGAAAGUAUAGGAUUUUCUAGGAGAUACAAACACUUACAAACAUUCACAUACUUUGUAUGUUUACAAAAAUCGUACUUCAAACACCGUUUCAAACAUUUUGUUACAAACAUAGACACUAAAUACUUUUGAACUCACCAGCUUUAUUGCUGAUAAACUCUUUCAAAAUAACUUGUACUCUCAGGUCAUCAGUAGACAUGUACCGAUGCCAGCUUUUGAGAAGAUGGAGCGCAUUCAAGACUCAUAUUUAUUUUGAUUCAUAUUUUGGUGUCUUAUAUAUUACAGAACACUUUUAUUAAAAUUAUAUAUUUAAUUCAAUAGACGAUGUUGUUUACUUGUUUACUAUUAUAUUGUGUUAUGAUACUGUACAUGACGUCCUUUGCCCUAGAACGUUUCCGCCAUUCUAGAUUUUGGGGUGUGAAAUUUCUCUUUUGAUUUAACCAAUUAAAAAAUUCAUGUUUCCAAUCAAAUUUUGCUUUACUAGUUCCCUAAAUCAUUUCUGAUUUAACAGCAUCAAGCAAAUAGGUAAGAUGAUUAAGGGUCAUAUCUUGAUCUGUCAUCAGUGUUUGACUGAAGAACCAAGUCAACAGCCAGCUACCUCAAGACUUCGACACCCGACUAUCUCGGCUUGCCAAUAGGGACUGAGUUACCUUGAACUUUUAAAGUAUUUGAUCUUGUGGGAUAGGGAGAAAAUUAGAGGAGGUGGAGGAAGUGAAGCAUGAUUUCCAGUCCCAUUAAUGCACAACAAAGGGAUUAAUCUUUCACCUUGAUUGCCAUGUGGGAUAUCAUCUUUAAUAGGAUAGCUUGUUCCUAAAGAUUUGGGAUGACCAUAGUUGUCUUAACUAGAUAUCUAUAAUGGAAGAAAUUCAAGUUUAGUUGAUUUAAAGUCCUUAAUAAAACACCCAAUAUGAAAUAUUAAGGCUAGGACCCAACAAACUAUUUUAUAACUUGGAAGAGGGAUGCCGUAAUCCAAGCUACAAAAUAUUUGAAGGUAGGUAAAUUACGAUUUACCAAUUCCACCAUGAAAAAAAAAUAAAUUAUUAAGUUUUAAUUGGGUUUAAAACUCCUAGAUCUUUUCAGAUUCAUUGAACUUUCAAUGGCAUGUUUAAAUCUCGAUUGUGCCCUCUCAAGUUUGUGUUUGGGAUGCCGAGGAUCACAUAAAAGGUGUGUAUAACCAUGCAAAUUGACUUAGUACCCUUAAUUUUAUCACCCAAUCGAUUUGCCGGUUAACCACACGCACUCCACCGGUCUAUGAUAAAACUUAAGUUACCCUUUGCCACACAUUGCCAGUCCCAAGUUAGUGUGCCGGUUAACCACACACGCUCCACUAAUGAACUAACAAGGUGCAAAGUGUAAUUUCAUGGGUUAGCACCAUUUCACAUUUUCCUAAGUAACUAAGAUUGGGAAUCUAUAAGUGUUUAGUUACUUAGUAUUUAUCAUUAUACUUUUAAUGAAGUGAGAAUUAUCAUCCUUUCCUACCCGUUCGACUAACGACCCUCCACUAGUCAAGGAAGCGGUGGGUGAGACUGGACACCCAUUAAACUGUCAUUUUAAAGGCAGUAACCUUAUACCCCCUUAGAGACUGGUUUCGUAAAUGAGGCCUACUAACGGUAAGAUUGACUUUACUCUUAUACAUAUAUAUAUAUAUAUAUAUNNNUAACCAUUAAAUUUUAAUAUUAUAAUAGUAUAAGGUUGAAUUUUAAACUUUUAAAAUUCUAGGGUUUAAUUUGGAAUUAAAGUAUACAUGGGGAGGUAACUUUGCAUAUUCCCAAAACUUGAGGGCAAGUUUUGAAACUAUUGAAAACCUUUCAUAUUCAUAACAUAUGAGUUUAAUGUAGGUUUUUAAAACUUUUAAUGGAGAGACUCUUGAACAUCCAUAAUUUGGGGACAAGUUAUGGAGUUCAUAAAACUAUUUAUGAGGAAAAGACUCUUUAAGUUUCUUAACCUAUGGUUUAAUAACCUUCUUUAAUGUGACUUUUUAUAUAACUUGAGGACAAGUUAGAAAAACACAUUUUAUGAAUAAAUCUUUAGAUCAAUUUGGAUCAAAAACAACUAUCACAAACAUAUCUAGCAAUAUUCAUAAUCUUGAUUAAACUCAUAUGAACAAGACAAUUCAAAUCAAACUAAUACAAAACAUGAAACUUUUGACAAUUAGCUUUUGAAUAGGAUUAGAAUGAUCAUUACCACAUCAAAAACAGGUUUAUAGGUUAAAAAACAACUCAGGGUAAUAUUUCUAGUCCAAUUCUAGCCAAAAACCUCGAAAAUAUGCUGUCUGGGGCUCCUACUCGUUGAGUGUAUGAACCUACUUGACGAGUAGGAUGAUUUUCUUCAUGGACUCGGCGAGUCCAGUGCCCAGAAAGCCAGAAAAUUUAUUUUUUCUGCAUUUUUCAGCACUUUGCAUCAAGUAUAAUUGACAACAAGCCUAGGCUCUGAUACCACUAUUGGAUUUUGAGCAUUCUAAAACUCCUAACGUGUUCAUGCAACCCUAAAUACCUUGGAUCUAUGUUUUCUCUAUUAUAUAUGCAAAUAUGAACUUUCCAAGUUAUUACCUAUAACUAGCAUACAAUUGUCAUAUACUACACAAGAAUCUAAUUAGGAUAACCUACCUUGUUGUGGAACUUGAAGUCUUGAUGUAUCUAGCCUUAAGAGCUUAGCCCCAAUAGUGUGGAAGCCUCAAGUGGAAUCACAACACUUCAUGGACAAAUAAUGAACUUGAGAGAGAAUCUCCAUGCACCUAAACUCCAUGAACUCUAAGACUAUAGUUACUCACGAUAUUUGGGCUAGAAGCAUCUAUUUAUAUGUGUGAGGAAUCCAAGAGUUAUAGGUAUAACACAAAACCCAAAUCCAUACCCAUGGGUUUAAUGAUCCAUGGUUCAUGUGGCCCAACUCCUUAUGUAUGCAUACAUAAACUUGGUCUAACAUGGAUCAUAAGCCAACCACAUAUAAAUAUAACUAAUUAACAUAUUUAGUCCCCAUAGAUUUAAUUAGUCUCUUUUGAUCACUAAAUUAUAUCCAAAUUAAUUCUUGAUCAAUACUAAUUAAAACACAUGAUUUCAUAUUAAUAUAUUAUAAAUUAUAAUAUAUUAAUAAAUCAUAUCCAACAUCUUUUCUCAAAAGUCCAUCCUAACAAAUCGCCCUGAUGAUAUGCAACCCAAAUGGACCAUGCUACUCUCGGGUCAAGUACAUAACAAUAAUAGUUAUGGGCUUAGACAUCUAAUCCAACAUUUUCCGGGUUGAAAAUGUUGAAUUCGUGGUGGUUGGGUAGCUGAUAUCUGUGGGUAUAGGUAUAGAUUGUGAUAUUUACUCUAGAAGGGGCAUCAGUUGAAUUAUCAACCAUUUGCAGAGUCGGUAUGAGUAGUAUUGUAUGGGUGGAGAUCAGUAGAGGGUGAAGCUUCGGGCUUUCGUGAACGAGUUUUCAGUCGUUGACGAUUCCUCCGUGUUUCGAAUUGGAAGAUAGGAAUAUUUCGAGUUUUCGAGUAGCGUAAGAGGAAGAUCAGUGGUUAAGGCAAGUCAUUGUGGCAUGUUGUGAUGGUGUACCGAGGUAUCAGAGUGAUUCUUGUUCCAGUGGGAACACAUCAGUUACUUGUCGUUGGAUUGGGACUAUCUAAGGGUGUAUAUGUGCUAAGACUUGUGCCUUGCCUAUGAGAACUUACAUCAGGAGUGGUGAUGCAUAAGCUGGGUGGGUGUAAGCACCUAUCUAUGUUGAUCUGCGGAGUGUGAGUUGGGGACUCAGUAUAGUGAUGACUUGAUGAUGAGAUCAUGGGAUGAUAAGAGAGCAAGUGGAUCCGGGUGGGAGUUAUCGCUUGGGAUUAGUAGGAGAAACCAUGGAGUGAGCCCAUGGUGAGUUAGAAGAGAGAGUGUCGUGAUACUGUGGGGAGUCGUAGUAUUCACUGGAUAGCGGGAGGGUGCUGUGAUACUGCGGGGAGCUGUAGUAUUCGCUAUUCGGCAAGAGAGUGUUUUGAUACUGCAGGGAGCUGUAGCAUUCACGAGUCAGUGAGAGAGUGUUGUGAUGCUGCAUGGAGCUGUAGCAUUCACGGGUCAGUGAAAGGGUGUCGUAAGACUGCGGGGAGCCGCAGUCCUACUAGUUAGAGUAUGACGCAGAGGAGUUCUUCGGCUUGGGUAGCCUUACCACUUGAGUCUUCGGGAACUUGGUUGCCAAACCAGGGGUGAGACUAGGGUCUCCACGACGGUCGAAAAUUGAUAUAUCCCGGGUUGGGAAGGGAUUAUCGUAAUCUGAAGGAAUUGAAGAGAUGGUGUGUGCAUAAAUUCAUGAAAUUUGGGUCAUGAGUUGAGUACCAGAUUGGAAAUGAGUGGUUCCAAUUCUGUUGUUGAAUCAGAAUCCCGAGUUGAGUUGGGUCCAUUCGUGUAUUGAGUAAGCAAGAUGAUGUUUUAGAUUUUUAAAUGGGUUUCAUUUUGAGGGGUAUUGAUCGCCAUCGGAUGUCUCAGACCAUGGUAGGUCAGUUUUCGUUGGUAUGGGAAGAACUGCGAGACACAGGGAACCAACAGAUGGUAUACGACAGAGGUCAGAGGUGAGACGACUUCGUAGGGGUUGUAGCAUUCACUUGGGGUAAAGCUAUAUUCGUGACUAGUGUGUCACAAUGAGUCGAGAUAGUUUGUGAGAAGGAAGCCGGUAAAUUGUUUUAUUAGGUGUGCAAUGAGUAACCAUUGGAGGUUCAACUAUUGGGUCGGAGUUGACCUGGUGCUUAGUGUUAGAAGGGAUAUUGAGAUAAACUGUGGCUUAUGAUUAAGAGUGUUAGAGCGUUGUUUUGAGCUGAUUUGACCGCUUUCUUGUACCUAAGGGUAGAGUUUUCAGGAUCAUUCCUUCAGAAGGGUUCUGAUAGUUGUUCAGGCUGUGGGUCUUUUUUAGGGUAUGACCUUUCCGUUCCUUAUGAGUUCGAUAUGGAUCAAUUAGAGAAUCAUAGUUGGUAAGGUGUUCUUAGAGUUACUUAAUCGAUGAGCGGUUAACAUGAUAUUUUGCGAGGAUGGUAUGGCAGGGAGACACACCACUAGAGUUUUGAAGUUAUAGAGAGUCAGAUCGAGCAUCGCAACGGUAGAUAGGCCUGUCCUUUUUUUCGGGUUUGGGAGUUCCUGUUGGUAUUUAGGUGUCGCUAGAGGAAGAUAGGUUUGUGGUAGGAUAUUUUUUCGGUGGUGAUUUUUGGGUUGUUGGGUUCGAUCUUUGUGAUGUUGAGGAGUGAUUUCGAGGGCAAAAUUUAAUUCAAGUGGGGGAGAAUUGUAACAUCCGGAUUCCCAGGUAUAUUAUUCAUGAGUUUAAUGUUGAAGUUUAUUGAGGGAAUCGACGAGUUGUGAGUCAAACUCGUCGAGUAGAAUCGUGUUGACCGCGUGGGAUUAAUGAUUGGACCCGACGACUCAGAAAGCCGACUUGCCGAGUUGGUGUUGGGCAGAGAGACCCUAAUUUCUCAUGGUUGGGGGCCUAUAUAAGAGGACUUAUGCCUCAUUUCUGUCACCCCAGCUGCCUAAGGUUCCUGUGUAAAACCCUUAACAUAUGUAGUGAGCUAUGAGGGUCUUAAAAGCUAAACUUGGAGUAAACUAUUGCACCGCUUGAGUAGAUGAGGAGAUUAUCCUCCAAGAAAGCAAAAGAAUUGGUUAAAUCUUGUGUAUCUGUUGGAUUAGGUAUCUAAGCCCAUAACUAUUUCUGGUAUUUACUUGACCCGGUUGGCUUGGUCCAUAUGGGUUGCAUCUUCAUCUCAACUAUUGGAUAGACAAAAUGAGAAAAAGGACACUUAUGAUUUGUUAGUAUAUUAUAAGUUCUAAUAUCUUCAUAUGAAAUCAUAUUAUGUAAUUAGUGUUGAUCAAGAAUUAAUUUGGAAUUAAUUUUGUGAUAAAAAAGAGACUAAAUAAAUAUAUGGGGUUUGAUUUGUAAAUCACUCAUUCUUAUAUAUAGUGGGCUUAUGGUUCAUGAUUCAGUAGAUUGGGCUAGGACCCAUUGGGUGCUCCAUGGAGGUUAUAACCCAUGGAUCAUGGGGAAAAUGAAAAGACAUGCACAUUCCGGUUUACAUGGUGUAACCCUACAUGUGACACAUUAUAUAAGAAGCUCCAUAGCUAGCAAAAUCGGCCACUAAUGCAAGUUAAGGAGGGCUAGCCGAUUUUGUGAUCAAAGUGUUCUUCUCUCAAGUUAUUCCAAGAGUUGUGGUGUUGUGUGAAACAUUUGAGGCAUCACACUUGAGGUGCUAGUCUCACAAAGUCUUAAGGAAUCCAAGCAACUACAAAGGUAUGUCAUUCUACUAGUCUUUUUAUAUUACACGUACCCCAUGCCCUGCUACUUAGGAUGUAAACCUUGGAAAAUUCUUAUUUGCAUAAAUAUUAGAGAAAACAUAGAUCCAAGGCUUCUAGGGUUGCAUGUACACCAUAGGGGUGUUAGAAUGCUCAAAACCCUUUAGUGGUAUCAGAGCCUAGGCUUGUUUUCUUUGUAUUUGAUGCAAAUUGCUUGAAAAAGUCGAGAUUUCUGCAAUCUGGUCAGUGAACUCGCCGAGUCCAUGGCAAAAUGCAUCCUACUCGUCGAGUAGGUUCUUGUACCCGACGAGUAGGAGCCCCUGUGUGCAGAAUUUGAAGUUUUGUUGCUGGAAAUGGACUAGAAACAUUACCCUAAACUGUUUUGGACUUUUAAAACGUGUUUUUGAUGGUGUAAUGUCUAUGCUAAUCCAUUUUCAAUGGUUAUUAUCAAAAUUUCAAGUUAUAUAUGUGUUUAUAUGAUUCUUGAAAUUAUUGAUAUGAAUGUUCAUACUUACGAGUUUUGGAAGAUCAUAGGAAUUAUUUGCAAAUUGUUUGUUAGUGGAAUUCUUGAUUUAAAUGUCAUUGAUGGCGUCCAUAAUUUGUCCUCAAGUUAUGGAUUACCAAAAGUCACUUCCUUAAAUUGUCAUUAAAGAGACAUAGGUUACAUAAAAUGAAGAGACUUCAUUUUAACAAACGAUUAAACUCAUAAGUUAUAAAUAUGAAAGGUUUUGAAUAGUUUCAAAACUUUCCCUCAAGUUUUGGAAUUCGUAAAGUCACUUUAGAAAACUUUAAUUCCAUACCCUAGAGUUAUANNNNNNNNNNNNNNNNNNNNNNNNNNNNNNNNNNNNNNNNNNNNNNNNNNNNNNNNNNNNNNNNNNNNNNNNNNNNNNNNNNNNNNNNNNNNNNNNNNNNNNNNUUACCGUUAGUAGGCCUCAUUCACGAAGCCGGUCUAUAAGGGGGUAUAAGGUUGUUUCCUUUAAAAUGGCAGCUUAAUGGGUGUCCACUCUCACCCACCGCUUCCUUGACUGGUGGAGGUUCGUUAGCCGAACGGGUAGGACAAGGAAUACAAUCCUCAUUAAAAGUAUAAUGAAAAAUAUAAAGUAACUAAACCUUUUAUAAAUUCCCAAUCUUAGUUACUUUAGGAAAAUUUGAAAUUGGUGCUAACCCAUGAAAUUACACUUUGUAACUUACCAAGUUGUUGGUGGAGCGUGUGUGGGUAACCAACACAAUAACAUGGACUAGUAAGAGUGGAAAAGGGUGACUUAAUAUUUAUCAUAGAUCGGUGGAGCGCGUGUAGGUAACUAGCACAUUUAAUAGGUGAUAAACAUUAAGGGUACCAAGUAAAUUUGCAUGGUUAUUCACACAUUAUUUGUGAUCCUUGACAUCCCAUUCACAAACUUGAGAGGGCACAAUCGAGAUUUAAACAUGCCAUUGAAAAUUUCAAUGAAUCUUAAAAGAAUCUUGGAGUUUCUAUCCAAUUAAAACCUAAUAAUUCAUUUCAUGUUUUCAUGGUGGAAAUUGGUGAAUCGUCAUUCACCUACCUUUAAAUAUUUCAUAGCUUGGAUUACAGCAUCCUUCUUCGAAGAUAUAAAAUAUUUUGUUGGGUCCUAGCCUUAAUACUAUAUUUGGGUGUCUUAUUAAGGAUUCUAUAUCUAAUAUAAACUUGUCUUUCUUCUUUUCAGAUGUCUUCCAAUAAUGCUGCUUCUGGCUCAAACCAUACCGACUCCUUCUCUCUCAUGAACCUUUGUGGGAGAGUCAUCUUUGAUGGUUUAAACUUUAAUGACUGGAUUAGGAACAUCAGGAUGGUCUCUCGUUACGAGGACUAGGAAUAUGUCCUCCACAAGGAGCUGAAGGAAAUUGAUGAGUCAACUGCUACUCCAGAGGAGAUCGCUGACUUCAAGGCACAUGAGAGAGAUGAUACCAAAGUGGCAUGUAUCAUGUAGGCCACAAUGAAAGCUGAACUCCAGAAGUCCUAUGAGGACUUUUACCUUUUUGAGAUGCACAUGGACUUGAUGGACCGCUACCAUCAAAGUGCUCGUCAAGAGAGGUAUGAAAUCAUCUCUUCCAUGAUAACAACCCGAAUGAAGGAUGGUGAACCCAUCAUGGGCCACAUGCAGAAAAUGCAAAGGUAUAUGGACCGUUUAUUGAAGCUGAAUGUGAACUUCCCUUAGGAGUUGGCUAUUGAUAUCAUACUGCGCUCCUUACCUUCUUGUAAUGAUCAAUUCCGAGUGACAUAUCAAAUGAACAAGGAGGAGGUCACACUCAGCAAACUUCAAGGGCUUUUGAAGACUGCUGAAAUUGGUCUUAAGGCAAAAUCGGUUGUUUUGGCAAUCAGGUAAUCGGGCAAAGUAGAGGGAAGAAGAGGAAGACCCCUCCGAAUGGUACCAAACGAAAGUCUCUUGAUGGCUCCUCUUUAGGUGGAACCAAAGGUGGUUCCAUCACUCCUUCUUCCAACCCAAAAGAAGCUCAAUGCUUCUAUUGUCAGGAAAAAGGGCACUGGAAACUAAACUUCCCCAAGUACCUGCAAGAUGUUAAAUAUGGGAAGGUCAAACCUACCCAUGCAGGUAUUUACACUAUAUUGUCUAAUAACUCAUCAAAUUCUACUUCUUGGGUUCUUAAUAUAGGUUCUGGUAUUCAUAUAUGUUCUUAUUUAUAGGGCCUAAGAAGAAGUGAGGGUGUGGAGCAUGGAAAGAUAAACUUGAUCAUGGGGAUUAGAAAAGCUUCACCUGUUACCAAGAUUGGAGUUUAUUCUUUGUUGCUAGAUAAUGGGUUAGUGUUAGAUUUGAAUAAAUGUUGUUACUCUACUGAAAUUGUGAUAAAUAUUAUUUCCUUUCAUGGUUUGUACAAACAAGGAUUUACUUUUUCAUUUGAUAAUGAAGUUGGUGGUAUUAAUGAUUUUUAUAAUAAUGUUCUUUAUUUUAAAGCAUUACUUUGUAAUUGUGUAUAUGAAACUGUGUCGGUUGUAGAAAACUUAGGAAAUAAUGUAUUAUAUAUCGAUUCUUCCACUAGUUUGGACAAAGCAUCCUUGUGGCAUUGUCGUCUUGGACAUGUCAACAAGAAGCGCAUAGGCCAACUCGAUAAAUAUGGAGUUUUGGAGUUGUUUGCCUUAAUGUCAGAUUAUAGUUGCGAGUCUUGUUUACUUAGAAAUAUGAUAAAGUCACCCUUCACUAGUUCUUGUGCUAGGGGUGAAGGUUUGUUGGACCUCAUACACAUAGAUGUGUGUGGACCCUUCAGAACUGCCACAAGGGAUGCUAACCGCUUUUAUGUCACUUUUACAAAUGAUUAUAAUGGAUAUGGUUAUGUCUACUUAAUCAAGCAUAAGUCAUAAACUUUUGAAAAUUUCAAAGAGUUUAAAAAUGAAGUGGAGAAUCAGCUGGGCAGGAACAUUAAGAUGCUCCGAUCCGAUCGAGGAGGAGAGUAUUAGUACAAAGUUCCUUGACUAUCUUAAGGGAUGUGGAAUUGUUUCACAAUUGACACCUCCAAGGACACCACAGUUGAAUGGUGUGGUUGAGAGGCGUAAUCGGACUUUGUUAGACAUGGUUUGUUCCAUGAUGAUUCGAGCUUCGUACCAAUCUCAUUCUGGGGGUAUGCCUUAGAGACUGCCGCCCAUAUCCUAAAUCUAGUCCCUACCAAGAAGGUUGCCAAAACACCUCACGAGAUGUGGACUGGGAAAGUUCCCAAUUUAUACCACAUCAAGAUUUGGGGUUGCAAAGCUUUCGUGAGAUGAGAGACUUAGGAAAAGCUUGAACCUCAAAGUGAGCGAUGUAUUUUCAUUGGCUACCCACAAAAUUCUUUUGGUUACCUCUUCUACAGACCCAGUGAGAAUGUGGUCUUUAUGGAAAGAAUAGGGGUCUUUCGUCAGAGAGAAUUCAUAAGCCAAGGAAAUAGUGGGUGGAAAAUUGGUCUAGAAGAAAUUCAAGAGUCAAGUGGUGAAGGAACCUCAAACCCUAGCAAUCAACCUGAGGAGGAAACUCAUGUUGAUGAGUCCGUACCUCUGAGGCGUUCCACAAGAGUUAGGAAUCCGCUAAGAAUUAUUAUGGUUUUCAUAUUAAUGCGGAAGGUGAUGAAUUUAUUAGUGAUAGGACACUGUUAAAUCUGGAUGAGCCUAACAACUUUAAGGAAGCCAUGUCAGGACCUGAGUCCGCCAAAUGGAAAGAGGCCAUGGACAACAAGAUUUAGUCCAUGUAUGACAAUCAUGUUUGGAACUUGGUUGACAAUGUACCAGGUCGUAAGACAGUCAGGUGCAAAUGGAUCUUCAAGAAGAAGACCGACAUGGAUGGUAAUGUACAAACUUAUAAAGCGCGACUGGUUGCGAAGGGCUUUACUCAAACUCCGGGAGUUGACUAUGCCGAGACCCUCUCACCAGUAGCAAAGAUUAAGUCUAUUAGGAUCUUGCUAGACAUAGUUGCAUUUCAUGAUUAUGAAAUAUGGCAAAUGGAUGUCAAAACUGCUUUCCUUAAUGGAAAGUUGGCUGAGGAUAUUUACAUGAGUCAGCCAGAGGGUUUUGUCGAUGCAAAUCACCCUAAUAGAGUGUGUAAGCUUGAGAAAUCCAUCUAUGGAUUGAAACAAGCAUCUCGCAAUUGGAAUCUUUGUUUCGAUGAGAAAGUCAAAGAGUUUGGUUUUCCAAGGAGUGAAGAUGAGUCCUAUGUAUAUGUUAAGGCUAGUGGGAGUAUAGUUAGCUAUUUGGUACUGUUUGUGGAUGACAUACUACUCAUAGGAAAUGACAUCCCACUCUUGCAAGAAGUUAAAUCGUAGCUUGGAAAGUGUUUUUCUAUAAAAGACCUUGGAGAAGCUGCAUAUAUCCUAGGAAUAAGGAUAUUGAGAGAAAGAAGUAAAAGACUAAUUGGACUUAGUCAAGGUACCUACUUGGAUAAGUUGCUGAAAAGGUUCAGCAUCCAGAAUUCCAAGAAAGGUGACUUGCCGAUCCAGACUAACGCCAAACUGAGUAAGACUCAGAACCCGAGUACAAAGGCUGAGAUAGCUGAGAUGAGUCAAUUAUUAUAUGCAUCCGCUGUAGGCUCGAUCAUUUAUGCUAUGACUUGUACUCGCCCUGAUGUGGCCUUCACUUUGAGCAUGGUCAUCAGAUAUCAAGGGAAUUCGGGCAAGGCUCAAUGAACUGAGGUGAAAAAUAUUCUCAAGUACCUACUACGUACUAGGUGUUGGAUUAAUGUCUAAUUCCAUAACUAUAAUUGGUAAGACUUGACCCGACCCGACAUGGUCCAUUUGGGUUGCAUGGCAUCAUGCACUUGGAUAGACUAUAAUGAGAGAAAUAAGAAACUUAUGGUUAUUAAUAUAUUAUAAGUUCUAGUAUAUUAAUAAUAAAAAUAAUAAGAUUAUUUAAAGAGUAUUGAUCAAGAAUUAAUCUAGGAUUAAUUAAGUGAUCAAAAGAAGACUAAUUAAAUAUAUGGGUUGAUUGUGUAAAUCAUCCAUACUUGUAUAGUGGGCUAAUGCUCCAUGGAUAAUUAAGUUGGGCUAAAACCCAUAGGAUGGUCCAUGGAUGCUCCAUGGUGUAUGUGUACCCAUGGAUCCAAGGAAAUGGAAAGCCAUGACAAUUAAGAGUUUACCCUAAUUGUGUAACUAUAUAAGCAUCUUAUUAUUGAGGAAAAAUCGGCCACUAGUGAUAGUGAAGAAAGGGCUAGCCGAUUUUGAAGAGUGUAGAAUUCUCUCAAGUCAUUCCAAGUGUUUUGAUGAUUGUGAUUCCAUUUGAGGUGUCACACUUGGGGCACUAGGCACUCAAGCUUCAUGAAGACUUUCUACAUCAAAGAGGUAUGUAUUCUAUCUUGUUAUAGUCAUUGUUUUGUAUGCUAGAUUAGGAUAAUACCUUGGAAGUUCUUAUUUGCAUGUAUAAUAGAGAAAACAUAGAUCCAAGGUAUUUAGGGUUGCAUGUACACUUAGGAGUGUUAGAAUGCUCAAAACCCAACAGUGGUAUCAGAGCCUAGGCUUGUUUUCUAGUUAUACUUGCAAAACUGCUUAAAAAAUCGAAGUUGUUGCUGUCUGAUCAUCAGAAUCGGUGAUUCCAUCAGGAGACUUGGCGAAUCCAUGCCUAAAAAGUCAUCAAAUCGAUCGAACUCGCCGAGUUGGUUCAUGCACUCGACGAGUUGGACCCCCAGACAGCAUAAAUUCGACUUUUUUGGCUGGAAUUGGACUAGGAACAUUACCCUAAGAUGUUUUUGAACUUAUAAACUUGUUUUUGAUGUGGUAAUGUUCAUGCUAAUCCAAUUUCAAAGAUAAUUGUCAAUAGAUUCAUGUUUUGUAUUAGUUUAAGGUUUAGACUAAUUACAUGAAAAAGUUUGAUUUGAAUUAUCUUGUUCUUAUGAGUUGCUUAGAUUAAUAGAAAUGUUGAGUGAAAUAGUUGUUUUCAAUCCAAAUUAAUCUAAGAGUUGAUUCUAAAAUGUGUUUUUGUAACUUGUCCUCAAGUUAUAUGAAAAGUCACAUUUAAGUUUCAUAAAACUCAUAAAAGUUGGCAAUGGUUACAAAAGAUGAAGAGUCUUGUCCUUAAGUUAUGGAGGUUCAAGAGUCACUUCAUUAAUAAAUAAAUAAAUAAAGUGUAACCUUAAUUAAUUCCAUAAGUUAUAAAAUAAAGAAAAGUUAAUUCUUUUAUUAGUUUAAAGUCUUCCAUAACUUGUCCUCAAGUUAUGGAACUUGAAGAGUUUUUGGAUUAAAACUACUUUAAACACAUAAGUUAUGGAAUUAAUUAGUUUUGAAUAGUUUCAAAACUUGCCCUCAAGUUUUGGAAUUUGUAAAGUUUUCUCUUAUGAAUACUUUAAUUCCAAGUUAGCCCUUAGAAUUUUAAAAGUUAAAAUUCAACCCUUAUACUUUAUAAUAUUAUAAGUUAAUAAUAUAUAUAUGUAUAAGAGUAAAGUCAGUCUUACCGCUAGUACGCCUCAUUCACGAAGCCGGUCUAUAAGGUGGGUAUAAGGUUGUUGCCUAUAAAAUGGCAACUUAAUGGGUGUCCACUCUCACCCACCGCUUGCUUGACUGGUGGAGGGUCGUUAGCCGAACGGGUUUGACAGGACUAGAAUUCUCCCUUCAUUAAAAGUAUUAAUGAUAAUACUAAGUAACUAAACUCUUAAUAAUACCCAAUCUUAGUUACUUAGGAAAAAUGUGAAUAAGGUGCUAACCCAUGAAAUUACACUUUACACUUUGUCUAAGUCGUUAGUGGAGCGUGUGUGGUUAACCGGCACACUAACUUGGACUUAACAAGGUAGGUAAAGGGUGACUUAAUAUUUAUCAUAGUAUCGAUGGAGCGUGUGUGGUUAACCGGCACAUCGAUUGAGGGGUAAUUUAUUAAGGGUACCAAGUGAUUUGCAUGGUUACUUCACACCUUGUUUUGUGAUCCUCGGCAUCCCAGUCACAAAACCUGAAGGGCACACUCGAGAUUGAAACAUGCCUUUGAAAAGUUCAAUGAAUCUCAAAGAUCUAGGAGUUUCAAAACCAAUUAAAACCUAAUAAUACAUUUCGUUUAUCUUGGUGGAAAUUGGUGAAUCGUCAUUCACCUACCUUCAAAUAUUUUAUAGCUUGGAUUACGGCAUACCUCUUCUAAGUUAUAAAAUAGUUUGUUGGGUCCUAGCCUUAAUAUUUCAUAUUGGGUGUCAUAUUAAGGACUUUAAAUCAACUAUCUUGAAUAUCUCCCAAAAGAUGUCUGGUUUAGACACCUAUGAUCUUCCCAAAUCUCUUGAAACAAGGUUUCCUAAUGAAGAUGAUGUCCCAUGGAUAUCAUACUUCUUCACCUCUUCAAAUUAUUCUCCCUAACCCACAAGUUCUUGAAAAGUUUAAGGUCACUCAGGCCCUAUUAGCAAGGCAAGGUCUAGGUGUGGUCACAUCUUGGAGAUGUAGUCACAUAUUGACAAGCCGGGAGAGUUGGGUGUCAAAGUCUUGAGAAAGUUGGUGGUUCAACUACUUUCUAAGUCACAUAGUGAGUUCUUUUGGAACACCUAUGAAAAAGACUAUGACAAGACCCUUAAUGAUCUUAUCUAUUUGUUAAGAUCAACUUCCUAAAACUUUAUGGACAUUGACAAUGAUGACAUUGGAUAUCCAGUAAAGCAUUCUCUUCCCAAUGGAAAGGGAUCGGCUAUAGUCAACUCGGUUGACCAAAUGGUAAAGAGAAAAGCUAAGUCUGUGAUAGUCCUGUGUACCAUUAUCAAAGGGUCCAUAUGUUUGUAUUGCCAAAGAAAGGGCAUUGGUUGCGAAGCUGCCAAAUUUACCUAAGGAUGUUAAAGUCAAUAAGUUUGACUCUACUUCAGGUAAAAUCCACUAUCUAACUCUGUUAAGUUUCUAUUCUGAGAUUCUUGAUACAUGAUGUGACCGGGUCGCAUGGUGAUGGUUUAAGAAUCAAAGGAAAGUGAAGAAACUUAAAGGAAGAAUAUGCUGAAUCUGAUCGCAUAGAUGGAUUUCUAUCGCAUAGUUUGAAAAAUCGGAUUCUUGAGCUACUUCUUAGGAGUUAUGAGAUAUUGCUUAGGAAUAGACCCAACCCGGCAUGGUCCAUUUGGGUUGCAUGGCAUCAUGCACAAAGUUUUAAAAUAAAAGGAAAUUUUUGAUUUUAUUUAUUUUAAAAUAUCCUUACAAUGGCAUCUGUGGAAAUUUUUGUUGCUUAUAAGAUUCCAUUAGUAGCAAGAGUGGAAGUAUGAAAUUGAUUCUUUCAUUUGUGGUAAUGUCUAAAUUUACCAAAUAAGGAAAGAUUCUCAUCACCCAAGUUUCAAUUGGACCGGAACUUGGAAUCAUGCAAGUUGUAUAGCAUGAUGAAUGAGAACUUUCAAGUUUUGGAAAAUUAAGACUAAUUACUUGUUCACAUGGAUGUGUGAGUCAAGUAAAGGACUUAGGGAUCGAGUACACAUUCUUGUGCACUGAUUAAGUCCACCACUAAAGAUCNUUCUUAUUUGCAUGUAUAAUAGAGAAAAUAUAGAUCCAAGGUAUUUAGGGUUGCAUGUACACUUAGGAGUGUUAGAAUGCUCAAAACCCAACACUAGGGACUGGGUCCGUACACUUGGUGGGAGUGAUGAAUUGAGAUUAGUGGAGUACAGUAAUGCUGGCUUCCAGACUGAUAGGGAUAAUUUGCGCUCUUAGUCGAGUGGGGUCUUUACCCUAAAUGGAGGAGCGAUUACUUGGAAAAGUUCCAAGUAGGAAACAAUGGUGGAUUCAACUUGCGAAUUAGAGUACAUAGCAGCAAGAGAGGCGGAAAAGGAGGCUAUAUGGCUAAAGAACUUCCUUGGAGACCUUGGAGUUGUACCAGCUAUUAAGGAGCCUAUGGAGAUUUUAUGUGACAACGAGGGUGCAGUUGCCUUAGCGAAGGAACCAAGGGAUCACGGGAGAUCCAGGCACAUCGACAUAAAAAAGCAUUUCAUUAGACAUCGGACGCUCUCAGUCGGGUUGGGUCUUUACCCUAAAUGGAGGAGCGAUUACUUGGAAAAGUUCCAAGUAGGAAACAAUGGUUGAUUCAACUUGCGAAUUAGAGUACAUAGCAGCAAGAGAGGCGGAAAAGGAGGCUAUAUGGCUAAAGAACUUCAUUAGUGACCUUGGAGUUGUACCAACUAUUAAGGAGCCUAUGGAGAUUUUCUGUGACAACGAGGGUGCAGUUGCCUUAGCGAAGGAAGAAAGGGAUCACAAGAGAUCCAGGAACAUCGACAGAAAAUACCAUUCCAUUAGACAUCGGAUAGAAGAAGGAAUCCUCGUGGUGAAGAGGGUAUCAUCAGAUGAGAAUCCAUCAGAUCCCCUGAUGCAGGGACUGUGUAUGGUUAAGCAUUUGCAGCAUGCGAGGCGCAUCGGGCUGAAGGAUCAUAUUAGUUUUACAGAUUAGAUAGCUAUCUCUGAAACUUGUAAAAUGUAAAUUGACAUUUGACGAUUGAAUAAAAGCUGUUGAUUACUUAUAAGUAAGGUGUUGCUAUCUUGUGUCAGUUAUUUACUAUUGUUUCAAUUUUGCAUGUUUUGACUUCCAGAAUAAUUUCUUUAUUCAAACACUCCACAGUCAGUCAUUGUUGGAAGUAGAUAUGAAUCAAGAUUGUCAUGAAUUGGGUUUGUAAUUGUGUAUGGUGCUAGACAUAGAAAAUAGUUGUCACACCAUUCAUGAGUACUCGUAUGUUCUGAGUAUUGGAUUCAACCCAUGCUCACUUGUAUCACUUCAUGGAAUUUAUAUCGAGUGAUCGUGAGAUGGUAAUAUCAUAUAAGUCUUCAAACCUAGAGAUACGAGUUGUCGACUAUGAGUUGGUUAUACAUUGAUUGUACGAAAAUGCAUUGGUAACUCGAUGUCAUAAAACGUGCCUUUGUGUAUGAUUCAACAAGUAGUAGAACAAGCAUAUGAGUUGAAGUUUAUUUGUUCCUUUUAGCCCUUGGAGGAUUAAAAGCGAUAUCUGGGCCCCUCAAUGAUUUUGUUUUGACCUAUGGACCGGGCCAGGUCAGAACCAAAUUGAUGUGUUCAGUUCAAUUCUAUGUCAAACAAAUCGGAAAUCAGGAAACAAACUGCUAGACAAUAAGUACGACAUUGUUCCAUGUAUUUGUCCGGCUGAUAUCUAGAAUAGAAGAUUAUAUGAUCCCUUAUCUUAAAUGGCACAUAAUGAUCUCAGUUCUACGAGACUUUGAAAGAGCUACGAUUGUUGAUCAGUUCCUGAAGUCAUACUUGUUGUUAUAGUUAUUAGACUUAUCCAAGUGGGAGACUGUUGGAUUAGGUGUGUAAGCCCAUAACUUUUUUGGUAUGUACUUGACCCGGUUGGCAUGGUCCAUUUGGAUAGACAAAAUGAGAAAAAGGACACUUAUGAUUUGUUAAUAUGUUAUAAGUUAUAAUAUAUUAAUAUGAAAUCAUAUUUUUUAAUUAGUGUUGAUCAAGAAUUAAUUUGGAAUUAAUUUUGUAAUAAAAAGGAGACUAAUUAAAUAAAUGAGGAUUGAUUUGUAAAUCAUUCAUUCUUAUGUAUUGUGGGCUUAUGGUUCAUGAUUCACUAGAUUGGGUUAGGACUCAUUGGGUGCUCCAUGGAUGCUUCGUGGAGGUUAUAACCCAUGCAUCAUGGGGAAAAUUAAAAGCCAUGCAUAUUAGGUUUUACAUGGUGUAACCCUACAUGUGGCACACUAUAUAAGAAGCUCCAUAGCUAGCAAAAUCGGCCACUAAUGGAAGAUAAGGAGGGCUAGUCGAUUUUGUGAUAAAAGUGUUCAUCUCUCAAGCUAUUCCAAGAGUUGUGGUGUUGUGUGAAACAUUUGACGCAUCACACUUGAGGUGCUAGGCUCAAAAAGUCUUAAGGAAUCCAUCCAACUACAAAGGUAUGUCUUUCUACUAGUCUUUUUAUAUUACAAGUAGCCCAUGCCAUGCUAGUUAGGAUGUAAACCUUGGAAAAUUAUUAUUUGCAUGAAUAUUUGAGAAAACAAAGAUCCAAGGUUUCUAGGGUUGCAUUUACACCAUAGGAGUGUUAGAAUGCUCAAAAACCUUCAAUAUCUUCAUGAAAGGGCUGCAAUGGGAGGUAAAAUCUUGCACCUUUCUUAUUUAUUUGCCUAGAUCUCAUGACUAUGGAAGAUUAGGGUUACUUCCACCUUUUGAUGGUACUUCAAGCAUAUAGAGUUAUCAUGUGGUCUAAACCUCAGAUCUGGACCUUGUGAGGUCCCUAGAGUCCAAAGGUCCCAACUUUAUUCAUCCACAUGGGGAUUUUUGUGCUUAAAACCUUGUGAGAGCAUGGUUUGGUAUGUUGGAGCAAAAUUACCAUGUAUGAACGUAAAGAUCGAAGCUUUACAUGACAAAUGAAUAUUCAGAUUCUAGAUCUAGUUUUUGGAGUGGUAAAUCUGUUGGAUUAAUGUCUAAGUCCAUAACUAUAUUUGGUAAGACUUGACCCGACCCGGCAUGGUCCAUUUGGGUUGCAUACCAUCAUGCACUUGGAUGAGAGAAAUAAGACACUUAUGGUUAUUAAUAUAUUAUAAGUUCUAGUAUAUUAAUAAUAAGAAUGAUAAGAUUAUUUAAUUAGUAUUGAUCAAGAAUUAAUCUAGGAUUAAUUAAGUGAUCAAAAGAAGACUAAUUAAAUAUAUGGGUUGAUUGUGUAAAUCAUCCAUACUUGUAUAGUGGGCUAAUGCUCCAUGGAUAAUCAAGUUGGGCUAAAACCCAUAGGAUGGUCCAUGGAUGCUCCAUGGUGUAUUUGUACCCAUGGAUCCAAGGAAAUGGAAAGUCAUGACAAUUAGGGUUUGCCCUAAUUGUAACACUAUAUAAGCAUCAUAUUAUUCACCAAAAUCGGCACUAGUGGGUGUACUAGAAGGGCUAGCCGAUUUCAUGAAGUGUGGGUUUUCUCUCAAGUCAUUCCAAGUGUUUUGAUGAUUGUGAUUCCAUUUGAGGUGUCACACUUGGGGCACUAGGCACUCUAGCUUCAUGAAGACUUUCUUCUCCAAAGAGGUAUGUAUUCUAUCUUGCUAUAGUCAUUGUUUUGUAUGCUAGAUUAGGAUAAUACCUUGGAAGUUCUUAUUUGCAUGUAUAAUAGAGAAAACAUAGAUCCAAGGUAUUUAGGGUUGCAUGUACACUUAGGAGUGUUAGAAUGCUCAAAACCCAACAGUGGUAUCAGAGCCUAGGCUUGUUUUCUUGUUAUACCUGCAAUAGAAGCUGAAAAAACGAAUCUGGUGCUGUCUGGCCAUCAGACUCGGCGAGUCCAUCAGGAGACUCGACGAGUCCAUGCCUAAAAAGUGAUGAAUUCGAUCCAACUCGCCGAGUUUGUUCAUGCACUCGACGAGUUGGACCCCCAGACAGCAUAUUUUCGAGUUUUUUGGCUAGAAAUGGACUAGGAACAUUACCCUAAGUUGUUUUUGAACUUAUAAACUUGUUUUUGAUGUGGUAAUGUUCAUGCUAAUCCAUUUUCAAAGAUAAUUGUCAAUAGAUUCAUGUUUUGUAUUAGUUUAAGGUUUAGACUAAUUACAUGAAAAAGUUUGAUUUGAAUUAUCUUGUUCUUAUGAGUUGCUUAGAUUAAUAGAAAUGUUGAGUGAAAUAGUUGUUUUCAAUCCAUUUUAAUCUAAGAGUUGAGUAUAAAAUGUGUUUGUGUAACUUGUCCUCAAGUUACAUGAAGAGUCACAUUAAAGACUCAUAAAAUUCAUAAAAGUUGGCAAUGGUUACAAAAUGAAGAGUCUUGUGUCAUUGAAUAAUUUUUUAUGACUCCAUAACUUGUCCUCAAGUUAUGGAAGUUCAAGAGUCACUUCAUUAAAGAAAAAUAUGUAACCAUAAUUAAAUCCAUAAGUUAUAAAAUAAAGAAAAAGUUAGUUCUUUUAUUAGUUUAAAGUCUUCCAUAACUUGUCCUCAAGUUAUGGAACUUGAAGAGUUUUUGGAUUAAAACUACUUUAAACACAUAAGUUAUGGAAUUAAUUAGUUUUGAAUAGUUUCAAAACUUGCCCUCAAGUUUUGGAAUUUGAAAAGUUUUCAAGUAUGAAUACUUUAAUUCCAAGUUAGCCCUUAGAAUUUUAAAAGUUAAAAUUCAACCCUUAUACUUUAUAAUAUUAUAAGUUAAUAAUAUAUAUAUGUAUAAGAGUAAAGUCAGUCUUACCGCUAGUACGCCUCAUUCACGAAGCCGGUCUAUAAGGUGGGUAUAAGGUUGUUGCCUAUAAAAUGGCAACUUAAUGGGUGUCCACUCUCACCCACCGCUUGCUUGACUGGUGGAGGGUCGUUAGCCGAACGGGUUUGACAGGACUAGAAUUCUCCCUUCAUUAAAAGUAUUAAUGAUAAUACUAAGUAACUAAACUCUUAAUAAUACCCAAUCUUAGUUACUUAGGAAAAAUGUGAAUAAGGUGCUAAUCCAUGAAAUUACACUUUACACUUUGUCUAAGUCGUUAGUGGAGCGUGUGUGGUUAACCGGCACACUAACUUGGACUUAACAAGGUAGGUAAAGGGUGACUUAAUAUUUAUCAUAGUAUCGAUGGAGCGUGUGUGGUUAACCGGCACAUCGAUUGAGGGGUAAUUUAUUAAGGGUACCAAGUGAUUUGCAUGGUUACUUCACACCUUGUUUUGUGAUCCUCGGCAUCCCAGUCACAAAACCUGAAGGGCACACUCGAGAUUGAAACAUGCCUUUGAAAAGUUCAAUGAAUCUCAAAGAUCUAGGAGUUUCAAAACCAAUUAAAACCUAAUAAUACAUUUCGUUUAUCUUGGUGGAAAUUGGUGAAUCGUCAUUCACCUACCUUCAAAUAUUUUAUAGCUUGGAUUACGGCAUACCUCUUCUAAGUUAUAAAAUAGUUUGUUGGGUCCUAGCCUUAAUAUUUCAUAUUGGGUGUCAUAUUAAGGACUUUAAAUCAACUAUCUUGAAUAUCUCCCAAAAGAUGUCUGGUUUAGACACCUAUGAUCUUCCCAAAUCUCUUGAAACAAGGUUUCCUAAUGAAGAUGAUGUCCCAUGGAUAUCAUACUUCUUCACCUCUUCAAAUUAUUCUCCCUAACCCACAAGUUCUUGAAAAGUUUAAGGUCACUCAGGCCCUAUUAGCAAGGCAAGGUCUAGGUGUGGUCACAUCUUGGAGAUGUAGUCACAUAUUGACAAGCCGGGAGAGUUGGGUGUCAAAGUCUUGAGAAAGUUGGUGGUUCAAUCACUUUCUAAGUCACAUAGUGAGUUCCUUUGGGACACCUAUGAAACAGACUAUGACAAGACCCUUAAUGAUCUUAUCUAUUUGCUAAGAUCAACUUCCUAAAACUUUAUGGACAUUGACAAUGAUGACAUUGGAUAUCCAGUAAAGCAUUCUCUUCCCAAUGGAAAGGGAUCGGCCAUAGUCAACUCGGUUGACCAAAUGGUAAAGAGAAAAGCUAAGUCUGUGAUAGUCCCGUGUACCAUUAUCAAAGGGUCCAUAUGUUUAUAUUGCCAAAGGAAGGGGCAUUGGUUGCGAAGCUGCCAAAUUUACCUAAGGAUGUUAAAGUCAAUAAGUUUGACUCUACUUCAGGUAAAGUCCACUAUCUAACUCUGUUAAGUUUCUAUUCUGAGAUUCUUGAUACAUGAUGUGACUGGGUCACAUGGUGAUGUUUUAAGAAUCAAAGAAAAGUGAAGAAACUUAAAGAAAGAAUAUGCUGAAUCUGAUGGCGUAGAUGGAUUUCUAUCGCAUAGUUUGAAGAUCGGAUUCUUGAGCUACUUCUUAGGAGUUAUGAGAUAUUGCUUAGGAAUAGAUAACAACAAGUUUUCAUAUGGAUUGUAAGGAUAAGUUUUUCCGCAAAGUUUUAAAAUAAAAGAAAAUUUUUUUGAUUUUAUUUAUUUUAAAAUAUCCUUACAAUGGCUUUUGAGGAAAAAUUGUUGCUUAUAUGAUUCCAUUAAGAGCAAGAGUGGAAAUAUGAAAUUGAUUCUUUCAUUUGUGGUAAUGUCUAGAUUUACCAAAUAAGGAAAGAUUCUCAUCACCCAAGUUUCAAUUGGACCGGAACUUGGAAUCAUGCAAGUUGUAUAGCAUGAUGAAUGAGAACUUUCAAGUUUUGGAAAAUUAAGACUAAUUACUUGUUCACAUGGAUGUGUGAGUCAAGUAAAGGACUAAGGGAUCGAGUACACAUUCUUGUGCACUGAUUAAGUCCACCACUAAAGAUCGAUAAGAAGAAUCAAAUUAGGCAGAAGGAUAAAAGUUUCUCAAAUCUGAAAAGAUGGGAGAGUACUUUAGUAUCAGUUUUGUGAUCAUCUUAAUGAUUAAGAAACCAUAUCACAAUUAGUUCUCUAAGGAAAUCUUAGUGCAUUCUUAUGACUAAGAAGAGGAACUUGAAUUGUUGAAAUGGUUAAAUCAAGAAGAUGAGUCAUACUUCGUUCCAAUACAAGUCUUAGAGUCAUACUCCAAGAUUGUCAUUUGAGUGACAUGUCUUAAAGAAGGUUUAAAACACUUGUCAAAUGUAAGAGUAAAAGUUUUCUACUCUUGUACAUUUGAAAUUGGUAAGUUGUGAUGUUUUGGAUAAAACAAAGACCAACUUAGGCCAAUUGGGUAAAGUGUUUUUCUUGAUUAGAAUCCGCACUAUCUCUUGGAUGUUUGACAAGGGAGUCUUAUAUGUCAAGAGGACAGUGGGAGUCUUAAAGGUCUUGAAAGUCUCAAGAAAUAAUCAAGAAUAAAACCUGAAGUUCUUCACUAGCACACGACUUGAGGUUUAUAACCUAUCGUGUUGACAUAUCUGUGCCCAUUCCAGUUAAAGUUGGCUUUGCAUAUGAGUUCUUAGAGUUCUCAGUUUGUUGCAUAACAACUUGGAAGCAAUGGCAGGCCCUUGAGCUGCCAGGUGGCAAGAAGUUAAGAUUGAGUUCAAUCCAUAUGGUUUUGGAUUUGUCAUUAUCUUUGUCUUGUGAUUAUGGUUUGACAAAUUCAUAUGGGUAGGAACUCAUACACCAUAUAAAUCUAAGUGUCAUAAGGUUUCUCUCCGAUUCAUGAAAAUGAUGGUGAGGAAACGCUUUCACUAAGUAGAUUUUACGAAGAUAUCAAUUGUGUUAUUUGCAUUUUCAAAAGUCGUUAGUGGAGCGCGUGUGGUUAACCGGCACACUAACAUGGACUUGUGAGAAAUGGCAAAUGCCUAAGCAAUUGAGACCAUGAUUACGGUAUCCCUUUUCAUGGUUCUUGAAAUUGCUUAGACACACAGGUGAGCUAUCUACGGAAAGGGUGUAUGAAUCUAAAUUUCAGACUGUCCAGCUGAUUUCUGAGUACAUGUCAAAGCUAGUGGGAGCAUAAGUGUUAUGCUAAUAAUCAUCAUGUUAGUGGGAGCAUGAUAAUUAUGAUAAGUAUUGCAAGUUAGCAAUGUUAAUUAUAGAAAACAAAAGUUUCAAUUGGGAAAAAGUUGUUUUGCUAUAAUUAAGGGAGAGGAAAUUAUGCUUCAUCUCAAAUCUAUAAGCUUAGAUCGUGAGGUUUUAAUCAUUUAGUCAAGGAUAUAUAUGAAUUUCAUGUUGGAAUGGCUCAACAUAAGGAAAUUCUGUAUAUGGGUCCAUUAUUUGCGUUCUAAAAUUCGAUUAUGAUUACGGCAUCCCUUUUCAUAAUCUGAAUUAUGAGAACUUGGCAAAUUGAAAUGGAAAUAUUAUAGCAAAAGACUGGUUUAGUCUUUAUGUAAGACAUCAUGAAUCGUGUCCCAUAUGCUUCGGAUAUAGGAUCGAUUACAUGUGCUAUAUUCAUCCGUUCUAAAAUUUUCCAAAUGCCUGGGGCAUUAAGAAGGGAAAAGGUUUAGAACUGGAUAUGACUAAAAGGAUUAAACAAUUGUCGAGGACAAUCUAAGGUUUACCAAAGAUUGGUUACUCAAGGACAAUUGGAAGUAUAGUGAUAAUUCUGGAAGGACCAUAUUGACAUAAUCUGUAAGGAGGCAACUCUUGUUCAGAAGUGAUAGUCAAAAU